AGUGCAUGUGGUGGAUGCCUUGGCAGUCAGAGGCGAUGAAAGACGUGAUAGCCUGCGAAAAGCUCCGGGGAGGCGGCAAAUAUCCUUUGAUCCGGAGAUGUCUGAAUGGGGGAACCCACCUACUUUAAGGUAGGUAUUGCAACAUGAAUACAUAGUGUUGCAAGGCGAACGAGGGGAAGUGAAACAUCUCAGUACCCUUAGGAAAAGAAAUCAAUUGAGAUUCCCUCAGUAGCGGCGAGCGAACGGGGAUCAGCCCAUUAAGUUAUGUGUGUUUUAGUGGAACGCUCUGGGAAGUGCGAACGUAGAGGGUGAUAUUCCCGUACACGAAAGGGCACACAUAAUGAUGACGAGUAGGGCGAGGCACGUGAAACCUUGUCUGAAUAUGGGGGGACCAUCCUCCAAGGCUAAAUACUCCUGACUGACCGAUAGUGAACCAGUACCGUGAGGGAAAGGCGAAAAGAACCCCUGUGAGGGGAGUGAAAUAGAUCCUGAAACCGCAUGCAUACAAGCAGUGGGAGCACCUUCGUGGUGUGACUGCGUACCUUUUGUAUAAUGGGUCAGCGACUUAUAUUCAGUAGCGAGGUUAACCGUAUAGGGGAGCCGUAGAGAAAUCGAGUCUUAAUAGGGCGUUUAGUUGCUGGGUAUAGACCCGAAACCAGGCGAUCUAUCCAUGAGCAGGUUGAAGGUUGGGUAACACUAACUGGAGGACCGAACCCACUGUCGUUGAAAAGCCAGGGGAUGACUUGUGGAUAGGGGUGAAAGGCUAAUCAAGCCUGGUGAUAGCUGGUUCUCCCCGAAAGCUAUUUAGGUAGCGCCUCGGACGAAUACCAUAGGGGGUAGAGCACUGUUUCGGCUAGGGGGUCAUCCCGACUUACCAAACCGAUGCAAACUCCGAAUACCUAUGAGUACUAUCCGGGAGACAGACUGCGGGUGCUAACGUCCGUAGUCAAGAGGAAAACAAUCCAGACCGCCAGCUAAGGCCCCAAAAUCAUAGUUAAGUGGGAAACGAUGUGGGAAGGCAUAGACAGCUAGGAGGUUGGCUUAGAAGCAGCCACCCUUUAAAGAAAGCGUAAUAGCUCACUAGUCGAGUCGGCCUGCGCGGAAGAUGUAACGGGGCUAAAACUAUGUGCCGAAGCUGCGGAUGUAUACUUUGUAUACGUGGUAGGGGAGCGUUCUGUAAGCCGAUGAAGGUGUGUUGAGAAGCAUGCUGGAGGUAUCAGAAGUGCGAAUGCUGACGUGAGUAACGACAAAACGGGUGAAAAACCCGUUCGCCGAAAGACCAAGGGUUCCAGUCCAACGUUAAUCGGGGCUGGGUGAGUCGACCCCUAAGGCGAGGCCGAAAGGCGUAGUCGAUGGGAAAAUGGUUAAUAUUCCAUUACUUCUGUGUAAUGCGAUGAGAGGACGGAGAAGGCUAAAUCAGCCUGGCGUUGGUUGUCCAGGUGAAAGGAUGUAGGCAUGUAUCUUAGGCAAAUCCGGGGUACUCUAUGCUGAGAUCUGAUAGCAAGCUGUACUUGUACAGCGAAGUGGUUGAUGCCAUGCUUCCAGGAAAAGUCUCUAAGCUUCAGUUACACAGGAAUCGUACCCGAAACCGACACAGGUGGUCAGGUCGAGUAGACCAAGGCGCUUGAGAGAACUCUGCUGAAGGAACUAGGCAAAAUGGUACCGUAACUUCGGGAGAAGGUACGCUGUUGUUGGUGAUGGAACUCGCUUCCUGAGCUGACGACAGCCGCAGAAACCAGGCCGCUGCAACUGUUUAUUAAAAACAUAGCACUCUGCAAACACGAAAGUGGACGUAUAGGGUGUGAUGCCUGCCCGGUGCUGGAAGGUUAAUUGAUGGGGUUAGCGUAAGCGAAGCUCUUGAUCGAAGCCCCAGUAAACGGCGGCCGUAACUAUAACGGUCCUAAGGUAGCGAAAUUCCUUGUCGGGUAAGUUCCGACCUGCACGAAUGGCAUAAUGAUGGCGGCGCUGUCUCCAGCAGAGGCUCAGUGAAAUCGAAAUCGCUGUGAAGAUGCAGUGUACCCGCGGCUAGACGGAAAGACCC
Molecule: ribosomal RNA, 2041 nt
Filed under: Acinetobacter baumannii IS-58
Lineage: Bacteria; Pseudomonadati; Pseudomonadota; Gammaproteobacteria; Moraxellales; Moraxellaceae
Description: bacterial LSU rRNA
Rfam family: Bacterial large subunit ribosomal RNA
Source: RNAcentral